ACCCUAAACAUUGAAGACAAGCCGUUUUCUCCUUCUCCUUCUCCUUCUCCUUCUCCUCCUCCUUUUUCCUCUCUUCCCGUGCGCUUCCUUCUCCCUUCUCCUCCGCGCUGCCUUCGCCUCUCCCCACAAGCAGCAGCCUCCGCGUUCGCUUCUCCUCGCAAGCAGCAGCAAGGCUGCGUUUUCCUCCCAUUCUGCAGUAAAGGCGGCCGCUACCAGCAGCCACGGCCAGGCGCGUGGUGUCCCUCUCAACCGUCUAGUCUUUACUCCUUCUCUUGUUACCCCAUUGUUCCCAGUUUAUAAGAGGAAAGUAGACCCUUAGUUGGGUGAUUUUUGUAACUUGUGGUCGUGCAGUGACGCUUACAGCAGGAGGAUCAUAACUUGGCAUGACAGACUCAUUUUCUGUUUGAUGUUGAUGUAGUUGAUCAGUAAGAUGGCAUCUUUGCUGUUUAGGGGACUACCAAUCCGUCCUUUGUGUAUUUACCCUUGCUCACUGUUGACUAAUAAAGUGGGUGUGUUUUACUGCACAGCCAAAGCCAAUAACCUACAUACCCAAAGUGCAUCUACACAAGAUAAGCCAAAGUCACAAUCUAAGGCUAUAACUCGAAACCAAGACAAAAUACUUGAUAACAUAUUGAAAGACUAUGAGGCAAUCAUUGGCAUAGAAACCCAUGUCCAAUUAUCCACUAUAACUAAGGCCUUCUGUGGAUGUGCCUACAAUUAUGGUUCACAACCGAACACAAACAUUUGCCCUGUUUGCAUGGGAUUGCCAGGUGCUUUGCCAGUUUUGAACUCCAAGGUCAUUGAAUCUGCUGUGAGACUUGGUCUUGCGCUUAAUUGCAAGUUAUCCUUAAACUCAAAGUUUGAUAGGAAGCAGUAUUUUUACCCUGAUUUGCCAAAGGGCUACCAGAUUUCUCAGUUUGAUGUUCCGAUUGCGAGUAAUGGGUAUAUAGAAUUGGAUCUCCCUCUUGAGUUUGGUGGGGGGCAUAGAAGAUUUGGGAUAACUCGAGUUCAUAUGGAAGAGGAUGCCGGGAAACUACUACACACCGAGGGUGGGAGUCAUUCUCAGGUUGAUCUAAAUAGGGCUGGAGUACCAUUACUUGAGAUCGUCUCCGAACCUGAUAUGAGAAGUGGCAUAGAAGCUGCAGAAUAUGGAGCAGAAUUGCAGAGGUUAGUUAGGUACUUGGGCGUGUGCAAUGGAAAUAUGCAAGAAGGCUCACUACGUUGUGAUGUUAAUAUCUCAGUCCGUCCUAGAGGGCAAGCCGAGUUUGGUACAAAGGUCGAAAUAAAAAAUCUAAACUCAUUUUCAGCAAUAAACAGGGCCAUUGAUUAUGAGAUCAUAAGGCAAGUGCAACUUCAUAAUCAAGGCCAAGCUGACCAAAUUGUACAAGAGACUCGUCUUUGGGAGGAUGGUGCUCAGAAAACAGUAACCAUGAGAAAGAAGGAAGGGCUUGCUGAUUAUAGAUAUUUCCCUGAGCCAGACCUGCCAGAAGUAACUUUGACAAAGGAAUACAUAGAGAGCAUUCGUGCUUCUUUGCCAGAACUUCCAGAUUUGAAGAGACGCCGGUAUGAACAAAUGGGCUUAAGCAUGCAGGAUGUGCUUUUUCUUGCUAAUGAUGUCAAUGUUGCAGAUUUUUUUGAUUCAACCAUAUCUAAAGGUGUUGAUGUAAAGCUAGCUGCUAAUUGGAUCAUGGGCGACAUUGCAGCUUACAUGAAGAAUGAAAAGGUGUCCAUGAAUGAGAUAAAGCUCACUCCUGAUGAGUUAGCUGCACUGAUUGAUUCCAUUAAAAAUGGGACUAUCAGUGGCAAAAUUGGUAAAGUGAUACUGUUUGAGCUAAUAGCCAAAGGAGGAACUGUCAAGGGGAUCAUCAAGGAAAAGAAUUUGGUCCAGAUAACUGAUCCUGGUGAGAUAGAGAAGAUGAUUGAUAAAGUGCUUGCUGAAAAUCCGAAGCAAGUUGAACAAUACCGCGCAGGCAAGACAAAGCUGCAAGGUUUUUUUGCUGGCCAGGUAAUGAAAGAAUCGAAAGGCAAGGCAAACCCGGGUGUCUUGAACAAGAUGCUCCUCGAAAAGCUCAACGCCAAGAGCUGAUAGUUGCACAGAGCGGUACAAAUGAAGUCUUUCUUUUCACAGUCAUCAUGUCUCAUGAUUUGGUUUUUCUCGGGCUGAAUGUGCUCCGGCUUUUUUGGUGGGGAAGACGCUCCCAUGAUUGCAGGAAUCGAUUCUUUGGUUUCGGAGUUUUACCACAGGUUUUUGUUUUCUGAAGCCAUCGGAUUGCAAAUAACGUCAAAGGCCAUAGCCAUAGGAGCAGAUGCAUUAGUUCUGUGCAUUUGUAGUGUUUAUUUCAAAAGUUUUGCAAGAGUUAUUUGUAAAAUUAAUUAAUAAAAGCGUGUUAUAAGUUAUAACUAUUUUUUAUGAACUCAAAAUAAUUUAUUUGCAUUGUACUAAUUAUGAAGAAUUGUGGAAUAAGGUUCUAAUUUAUUUAUUGAAGAAACGAUAACCUUUCGAA
Molecule: RNA transcript, 2504 nt
Organism: Amaranthus tricolor (Joseph's coat)
Lineage: Eukaryota; Viridiplantae; Streptophyta; Magnoliopsida; Caryophyllales; Amaranthaceae
Gene name: glutamyl-tRNA(Gln) amidotransferase subunit B, chloroplastic/mitochondrial
Exons: 12
Source: RefSeq, a predicted model, not a curated record